Molecule: ribosomal RNA, 549 nt
Filed under: uncultured bacterium
Lineage: Bacteria
Description: bacterial SSU rRNA
Rfam family: Bacterial small subunit ribosomal RNA
Source: RNAcentral
UAGGGAAUCUUCCGCAAUGGGCGAAAGCCUGACGGAGCAACGCCGCGUGAGUGAAGAAGGAUUUCGGUUCGUAAAGCUCUGUUGUUAGGGAAGAAUGAUUGUGUAGUAACUAUACACAGUAGAGACGGUACCUAACCAGAAAGCCACGGCUAACUACGUGCCAGCAGCCGCGGUAAUACGUAGGUGGCAAGCGUUGUCCGGAUUUAUUGGGCGUAAAGCGAGCGCAGGCGGUUAGAUAAGUCUGAAGUUAAAGGCUGUGGCUUAACCAUAGUACGCUUUGGAAACUGUUUAACUUGAGUGCAAGAGGGGAGAGUGGAAUUCCAUGUGUAGCGGUGAAAUGCGUAGAUAUAUGGAGGAACACCGGUGGCGAAAGCGGCUCUCUGGCUUGUAACUGACGCUGAGGCUCGAAAGCGUGGGGAGCAAACAGGAUUAGAUAUCCUGGUAGUCCACGCCGUAAACGAUGAGUGCUAGGUGUUAGACCCUUUCCGGGGUUUAGUGCCGCAGCUAACGCAUUAAGCACUCCGCCUGGGGAGUACGACCGCAAGGUUG